UGAUCAGUGCAUUUUAAUGCACAUUCUUCUACUAUUGUACUAGUGUAUUCCUAUGGUUUAAUUUACUAUUUUCACUAUUUUAAGGUGUUUUUAUAUUUAAGUUUAUUUCUAACUCUAUUUUAUUUUCGCACUUAAUUUAUGAAUAAAUAGCACUUUGACACCCUUCCGGUCCGCAGGUCAUAACUGGAGUUACAAAUAUCAGAUUGAGGCGCGGGAAGAUGCGUUGGAAAGCUGAGAUCAAGAGCUACGACUUUCAUGUUGAGGCCAAAACCCAGUUCGGAGCGCAAGUGUGUCAAAUAACUGCGUUUAUGUUCCAGACGAAUUUAAUUCAGCACAACUUUAUAUUUUUCGGCCCAAUUGUUUUAAGGCCCGUUCCAUGUAUUAUUUAAACCGAAAAUAAGGCAGCUAGGGCGAGUCAUUCACUGUUCACGGAAAUAAGAAACCCUAGAGCAGCCACCACUUACAUGGAGAACUAAAUCU
Molecule: long non-coding RNA, 480 nt
Filed under: Trifolium pratense (red clover)
Lineage: Eukaryota; Viridiplantae; Streptophyta; Magnoliopsida; Fabales; Fabaceae
Description: long non-coding RNA (TPRA_LNC010067)
Source: RNAcentral